GGAUGUGAGAACAAUCUUCCUGCGACACCUGUCACCAUAUUGAUUGCCAGGAUUGAUUCAACUGAUCUGGUUGGCUAGGCAGGUGUCCCCUUCCUCCCUCAUCUCUCCAUGUGUGUCCCUCUCAAAGAUGCAUGCUCGUUCGAAAAGGACAACCAUAUCAGAUAAAGGAGGACCAGUCUUUGGUCAAGGGUAUACGAAUAGCUGCACUCCCCUGCUAGAACCUCUAAACAAGCUCUCAAGAAAAGGGCCUCUGCAAAUCCACCCAUUGUGAUCCUGGUCCUCAAGUUUCA
Molecule: small nuclear RNA, 290 nt
Filed under: Cebus imitator (Panamanian white-faced capuchin)
Lineage: Eukaryota; Metazoa; Chordata; Mammalia; Primates; Cebidae
Description: 7SK RNA (ENSCCAG00000005681.1)
Rfam family: 7SK RNA
About the family: 7SK was discovered as an abundant small nuclear RNA in the mid-70s but a possible function has only recently been suggested. Two independent studies have found that 7SK RNA binds the CDK9/cyclin T complex (known as elongation factor P-TEFb).
Source: RNAcentral